RNAcentral lists this ribosomal RNA (253 nucleotides) under uncultured bacterium. Its description in RNAcentral is "partial 16S ribosomal RNA". It matches the Rfam family "Bacterial small subunit ribosomal RNA", at positions 524 to 776 of the family's 1533-position model. The record is from RNAcentral.
UACGUAGGGUGCGAGCGUUAAUCGGAAUUACUGGGCGUAAAGCGUGCGCAGGCGGUGAUGUAAGACAGAUGUGAAAUCCCCGGGCUCAACCUGGGAACUGCAUUUGUGACUGCAUCGCUGGAGUGCGGCAGAGGGGGAUGGAAUUCCGCGUGUAGCAGUGAAAUGCGUAGAUAUGCGGAGGAACACCGAUGGCGAAGGCAAUCCCCUGGACCUGUACUGACGCUCAUGCACGAAAGCGUGGGGAGCAAACAGG